RNAcentral lists this ribosomal RNA (250 nucleotides) under uncultured bacterium. Its description in RNAcentral is "partial 16S ribosomal RNA". It matches the Rfam family "Bacterial small subunit ribosomal RNA", at positions 355 to 602 of the family's 1533-position model. The record is from RNAcentral.
UGGGGAAUCUUGCUCAAUGGGGGAAACCCUGAAGCAGCAAUGCCGCGUGGAGGACGAAGGUCUUCGGAUUGUAAACUCCUUUUGUCGGUGACAAAUGGCCCCGUGAAGAGCGGGGUUUGAUGGUAACCGGCGAAUAAGCCACGGCUAACUUCGUGCCAGCAGCCGCGGUAAGACGAAGGUGGCGAGCGUUACUCGGAUUUACUAGGCGUAAAGCGUGGGCAGGUGGCUUGACAAGUCUCUUGUGAAAGCC